Elaeis guineensis (African oil palm) is the source of this 1993-nucleotide RNA transcript. RefSeq lists it as uncharacterized. Lineage: Eukaryota; Viridiplantae; Streptophyta; Magnoliopsida; Arecales; Arecaceae. The record is from RefSeq and is a predicted model, not a curated record.
GUUGUACGCUCCAUGCCAUUUUCGUUCUUGUCCACAGCCUCAUUUGUUCUUGCCCCUCCCUCCGCCCCAACCUCGGGGGCCGCCGGCGACCUCCUCACCAGCCUCGUCCCCUGCGCCCUUGCACUCGCCCCCACCCUCCCCUUCCUCGACCUUUCCUUCGAUGCCUCCACAGCACCCUGCUCCUCCGGCCCGCCGGCCCAACGGGGCCGGCUCAAGUGAUGAGCUUUUGGGGGGAGUCCGGGCCUUUCUCGUUCUUCUCUUUUUCUUAGGCCUCCCGGGUUUCCUGCGAAGUCCUGCGAACCGCGUCCCUGGCUGAGAGCAUGAUUCGAGAACUCACGUAUAAUUUGCAAGAACAGCCUUUUUGCUCCCCUCUCAUGUUGAAACCCUAAAUGUUCGGGACGUAGGAGAUUGAUGGGGACGACGGAAGUGUGCGAGGAGAAGCUCCGGACGGGCAAUCUUUAUCACGAUCCCACCAUGAACCUGGCCUCGGCUCCCCCCGCUGCCCCCGUUGUCUUUCCCUCGGAAAACAGGAGUGGACGUUCACUUAUGUGUUGCAUGAUGCGACUGCUGUGAUAUGUGGAUACUUCGUCACAUACUUCUCUUAGAGAUUUUUUACCCUUGUGCAGUACUUUUUUAUUAUAGUGACUGGUUGAUGGUAUUUAUUUAUUUUGAGCUCGAGGUUUUAUUUGAAUCAUCUGCUAAUUGUUGGAUAGGCCGGUUCGGGGGCUGGCGCAAUUCUUGGUGCUGUCCACGGAUUCAAUACGGGAAUUCCAUUUCUGCAAAAGCACGUGAAAGGACCCAAAUGGCUGCAUUUCUUUAUCGAGGAAAGUCUACAAUAAUCAAUAUCGGCAAACCGCCUAGGUGGCCCUAGACGUUGACAUCCUUCAAGGUUUAGGCAGAAUGCCUAAGUGGUCAGGCAGGUGCUAGAGGCAAAAUGAGGCUUAUCCUAGUCUUAACACCCUCUUUGCUCAGCAACUAAAGGUUCUAGCUUCGCUUCUUGGAUAUGGUGCAUCUCGAAAAAAAGAUGGAUCUGGGUAAUUAUAGUGCAGUUUAUCCGGUUCCUAAGUUUGCCCAGCUCACUGUGACAUCCUAUUAUGCUGCUUCAAGUGCAUCACACUAUGAUAUAUAUCUCAGAUUACCAGGUAUGUCGAAGCUGCUCUCACGAUCUUCAUGAUAAGCCCAGAUGAUGAGGUUACAGAGCCCCUCUUUGUGACAUCUAAAUCAGCAGGAGCCAGCUUAUCAAGCUAGUGAAGUCCUUGGCGGUUGAACCAAGUGAUCUAGGAUUGAUUAGGUCUCACUUUUACUCGCCUUAACCAAUAGUUGGGGUUUCAUAAUUUCUCAGCUUGUUGGUGGUCCAAAUUUUAAAGUAAACGGAGAGCAUGCUCAUCUGCUGUAAUGUGGACGUCCAACUUAGUUUGCUACCAAGCGGAGCAAGAAAAAUGGUUCACGGUAGCUUUAAAGAUGGACUUAUCGGGGAAGGCCAACAGCCCCCUCCUUUCAAAAACCAUGCCGGCCAUUCUCAAAACUUCCAUGUGGAAGUCCUGCACAAAGUAGUAGAGACCUCGUCUGAUCAAACAGUGCCAGGCCAUCUUUUCGGUAUUGGUGUCCGAGUAAAGAUUUGAAAGGUGCCGAAACCAGAUCUAAGUGCACGGUUCAUACCGGACCGGGGCAAGAUCUAUCCGGUUUUGCUACAUUUAGGGGCGGAUCGAGACAAACUGCACUCAAACCUGAACCGCCAUUGGAUUCGCCCAACUUGAUGGGUUCGGGUCCUCGGCACUGGAAAGCUGAUCAAUUCUUAUUGUGGUAGGUUGAAAGAUAAAUGAACCGGAGUUUUUUGAAAACUUCAAAAGAUUAUAUAUACAUAAAAUGGGGUAAAGGGAAUUCAAGCCAUGAACCCGUAUGGCUUACCAUCCAACUACCAAGAUACAUUUGGUGCUGCAUUUGGUGGUUUAACUUGUUUGUAUGUAUAUGUCGUCAGAUGGAACAAUUUAGA